GGAGGUAGUGACAAUAAAUCACAAUGCGGAACUUCUGUUUUGCAAUUGGAUUGAGAACAACGCACAACACUUAUCGACAAACAAUUGGAGGGCAAGUCUGGUGCCAGCAGCCGCGGUAAUUCCAGCUCCAAUAGCGUAUAUUAACGUUGUUGCAGUUAAAAAGCUCGUAGCUAAAGUGAAGUGUGAAUCUCUUGGAUUUUCGUUUGAAUUUCCUUUAGCUUCAUACUCUUUCCAAAUAGUUUGCAUGGGUAUUUACUUAUCUGUGUAUUGCAUUUGGUCAUUUACUGUGAGAAAAUUAGAGUGUUCAAAGCAUACGUUUGUUUGAAUACAUUAGCAUGGAAUAAUUCGAAAAGGCUUUCAUGUUCGAUUUGAUUGGUUUGUUCGUGAAGGCAAGAUUAAAAGGGACAGUUGGGGGUAUUCAUAUUCAAUAGUCAGAGGUGAAAUUCUCGGAUUUAUGGAAGAUGAACAAGUGCGAAAGCA
RNAcentral lists this ribosomal RNA (480 nucleotides) under Blastocystis sp. RNAcentral describes it as "SSU rRNA". It matches the Rfam family "Eukaryotic small subunit ribosomal RNA", at positions 460 to 953 of the family's 1831-position model. The record is from RNAcentral. Lineage: Eukaryota; Bigyra; Opalinata; Blastocystidae.